Molecule: ribosomal RNA, 254 nt
Filed under: uncultured bacterium
Lineage: Bacteria
Description: partial 16S ribosomal RNA
Rfam family: Bacterial small subunit ribosomal RNA
Source: RNAcentral
UACGGGGGGUGCAAGCGUUGUUCGGAUUUACUGGGCGUAAAGGGCGCGUAGGCGGUCGUGACAAGUCACUUGUGAAAUCUCCGGGCUUAACUCGGAACGGUCAAGUGAUACUGUCGGACUAGAGUACAGAAGGGGCAACUGGAAUUCUCGGUGUAGCGGUGAAAUGCGUAGAUAUCGAGAGGAACACCUGCGGCGAAGGCGGGUUGCUGGGCUGACACUGACGCUGAUGCGCGAAAGCCAGGGGAGCGAACGGG